This is a long non-coding RNA of Lycium barbarum (goji berry), 866 nucleotides long. RefSeq lists it as uncharacterized. NCBI's taxonomy places the organism in Eukaryota, Viridiplantae, Streptophyta, Magnoliopsida, Solanales, Solanaceae. The record is from RefSeq and is a predicted model, not a curated record. The transcript is spliced from 3 exons.
AGAUUAUUAGACAAUAUUUAGUGAUUAAUUAAAAAUUAAUUAGCUUAAUUAGGUUUGGUGGGCCCCACCCGAAUUAAUAAAAAAAAAUGAAUGAAAUGAAAUCAUCAAAUACAUGCCACAGAGAAGGGCACGUGUAGGUCAUAGGGGGGCACACAUAUAAGUCACUAAGAUGACUCAUAGGCAUCGCAUUCAACAUUGCAAGACAUUCGGCCAUGGUGAUUCACUAAAACAAAAAAAAAAAAUGAAUGAGAAAUGAGCAAAGUUUGAGAAGCAUUCGGCCAUGGUGAUUCACUAAAACAAAAAAAAUGAAUGAGAAAUGAGCAAAGUUUGAGAAGCAUUCGGCCAUGGUGAUUCAGCGGAGAAGUAGCAUGAAAAAGAGAGAGAUUAGAGUGAUAAUUUGCUGGAAACAUUCAAGUGAUGAGUAAAGCUAAGAAGCCAAGUUUAUUAAGAUAGGCGAAAAGAGCGACGAAGCGAAAAGGAUUCACGAUUAGUCGCUGACAGGUACAGAUGCUCACGUUGGUAACCCGCCAGCUUAGGAGUCCUGUUCAGCUAUCUUGGAGAGCUCCCUUUUUCCGGAGCCUAGAUUUUGGUACAGAAUCUCUUGUAGUGUAUAUGUAUUUUAUCCAGGGGUACGGCGGGGCCCUGUUCCGUCAUAUGAUACUGUUGUUACUCUUAGAGGUCUGUAGACAUAUGUGUGGGUUGUGUAUCGAUGUUGUUCAGUUGUGUCUAUAUGGCUUAUGUUUUGGGACGUUCCCAUUCAUAGUGGCAGCCUUGUCGGCUUGCGUAGAUAUAUAUAUAUAUAUAUAUAUAUAUAUAUAUAUAUGUUUUGAGAAGUAAUGUGUUAUGAUAGCCUUGUCGGCUCGUGU